This 391-nucleotide unclassified non-coding RNA is filed under the name soil metagenome. RNAcentral describes it as "partial contains 5.8S ribosomal RNA, internal transcribed spacer 2, and large subunit ribosomal RNA". The stretch from base 1 to 122 matches the Rfam family "5.8S ribosomal RNA", at positions 35 to 154 of the family's 154-position model. The record is from RNAcentral.
GAUGAAGAACGUAGCGAAAUGCGAUACUUGGUGUGAAUUGCAGAAUCCCGUGAACCAUCGAGUCUUUGAACGCAAGUUGCGCCCGAAGCCAUUACGCCGAGGGCACGCCUGCCUGGGCGUCACACGUCGUUGCCCCCCCAUCUACUCCUUCGGGAUUGCGGGGGGCGGAUGAUGGCCUCCCGUGCGCCUCGUCGCGCGGUUGGCAUAAAUGCCAAGUCCUCGGCGACGCACGCCACGACAAUCGGUGGUUGCGAAACCUCGGUUGCCCGUCGUGUGCGGUCGUCGCGCAUCGAGGGCUCGAAAAAAUUGCCGGGCUCCGGCUCGGCUUUCAACGCGACCCCAGGUCAGGCGGGGUUACCCGCUGAAUUUAAGCAUAUCAAUAAGCGGAGGA